UACAGAGGGUGCGAGCGUUGUUCGGAAUUAUUGGGCGUAAAGGGCGCGUAGGCGGCGCCACAAGUCACCUGUGAAAACUCUGGGCUCAACCCAGAGCCUGCAGGCGAAACUGUGGUGCUGGAGUAUGGGAGAGGUGCGUGGAAUUCCCGGUGUAGCGGUGAAAUGCGUAGAUAUCUGGAGGAACACCGGUGGCGAAGGCGGCAUCCUGGACCGGCAUUGACGCUGAGGCGCGAAAGCCAGGGGAGCAAACGGG
RNAcentral lists this ribosomal RNA (253 nucleotides) under uncultured bacterium. Its description in RNAcentral is "partial 16S ribosomal RNA". It matches the Rfam family "Bacterial small subunit ribosomal RNA", at positions 524 to 776 of the family's 1533-position model. The record is from RNAcentral.